RNAcentral lists this ribosomal RNA (497 nucleotides) under uncultured bacterium. Its description in RNAcentral is "partial 16S ribosomal RNA". It matches the Rfam family "Bacterial small subunit ribosomal RNA", at positions 28 to 507 of the family's 1533-position model. The record is from RNAcentral.
GAUGAACGCUGGCGGCGUGCCUAAUACAUGCAAGUCGAGCGAACGGACGAGAAGCUCGCUUCUCUUAUGUUAGCGGCGGACGGGUGAGUAACACGUGGAUAACCUACCUAUAAGACUGGGAUAACUUCGGGAAACCGUAGCUAAUACCGGAUAAUAUUUUGAACCGCAUGGUUCAACAGUGAAAGACGGUCUUGCUGUCACUUAUAGAUGGAUCCGCGCUGCAUUAGCUAGUUGGUAAGGUAACGGCUUACCAAGGCAACGAUGCAUAGCCGACCUGAGAGGGUGAUCGGCCACACUGGAACUGAGACACGGUCCAGACUCCUACGGGAGGCAGCAGUAGGGAAUCUUCCGCAAUGGGCGAAAGCCUGACGGAGCAACGCCGCGUGAGUGAUGAAGGUCUUCGGAUCGUAAAACUCUGUUAUUAGGGAAGAACAGAUGUGUAAGUAACUGUGCACAUCUUGACGGUACCUAAUCAGAAAGCCACGGCUAACUACGUG